This 21-nucleotide microRNA is filed under the name Human gammaherpesvirus 8. RNAcentral's name for it is "kshv-miR-K12-2-3p". Its record names the gene kshv-miR-K12-2-3p. Lineage: Duplodnaviria; Heunggongvirae; Peploviricota; Herviviricetes; Herpesvirales; Orthoherpesviridae. The record is from miRBase by way of RNAcentral.
GAUCUUCCAGGGCUAGAGCUG